UCAGGAGUUUAUCGUGUUCCUCACGACGAC
This 30-nucleotide non-coding RNA is filed under the name Rattus norvegicus (Norway rat). The record is from RNAcentral. Lineage: Eukaryota; Metazoa; Chordata; Mammalia; Rodentia; Muridae.